AGGAGUGGCCAAGUGGUAAGGCAACGGGUUUUGGUCCCGCUAUUCAAAGGUUCGAAUCCUUCCAUCCCA
Molecule: transfer RNA, 69 nt
Filed under: Vitis vinifera (wine grape)
Lineage: Eukaryota; Viridiplantae; Streptophyta; Magnoliopsida; Vitales; Vitaceae
Description: transfer RNA-Gln
Rfam family: tRNA (bases 5-63)
About the family: Transfer RNA (tRNA) molecules are approximately 80 nucleotides in length. Their secondary structure includes four short double-helical elements and three loops (D, anti-codon, and T loops).
Source: RNAcentral